CCAAGGCUAGAAAAAAAAAUAAAUAAAAAGGCAGCCUUCUUGAGUAAAAAAAAGCCAAGGCUUGAAAAAAUAUAUUGAGCGAAAAAUAGAAAUGAUAAAAGAAUGCUCAAAAGAAUAAGUUGACAUGGUUAGAUGGUCGAAAAAUCUCAUGUUUGGGGUGUUGAGCUGUGAGAAAUUUGUACGCAUUGACUGAGAUGUGAAAGAUGUUGUGAUGGAUGUGCUAGUAUUUUAAGAAUGGUGGUAAGCUACUUAACCAUAUAUUAUCCCACCUUUACCAAAAGCCCCAUUACAUCCCAAUGAAUAAGACCUUUUCAUUUAUGCAUCAUAUUGACUUGUGAGCGAUGAAUUUUGCUUGAAUUUGGGAGAAAGAUCUUAUGUGCUUAAAAUAAAGAAUAGCCGGAAGAACUUCUCUUUAGGAAUUAGUGACGAUGGUUUGAGACUCCCAAGACACAACUCGAACUUAUAUUGAAGCAUGGGAUGCCUAGGUCUUAGGGAAUUAGUUCGUGUACAAUUCUUGUUCGAAAGUUUUACCCGCGAGUGAAUUCAUGGUCGACCUAAUUUCCCUACUGAUUCGUUGGUGUGACUUGAAGGAGAGGAUUAUCUAAUAUCUUACGACUGUGCUUUAUUGUCUAACUUGCUCGAGGGCAAGCAAGACUUAAGUUAUGGGGGUGUUUGAUGUGAGUGGGUAAUUGUCUAACUUGUUCCUCGGAGUAUACAAUGGAAUGGAGGGUAGCGUAUUACUGCUCCAAGUCAGUUUUGACUACUUCGAUAUUAAGUGUCUCUCAGUUCAUACUAAAGCCAUCAAUGAAGAACUACUGCAAAAUCUUUCUGAUGCUCUACAUUUUUCGCUACGUGAUAAAAUUGGAGUUGGUCUUGCUGGGUCCAAAAUCUGAAGAUCACGAUACCGGGAUGUGUGGAAAUAAUUUCAGUUUGAGCCAGAUUAAAGAGCUGUGUGCCAAUCCUAUUGUAUUUGAGGCGACUGAGAUAAUUCAACAUAUUCUCGUGUUACUCUUAGUUGAUCUGAAGGGCCUCUCUAAGCAUUCAGAUUCAUUCUUGCAAAUGUUAUCUCUUGUGCAACUAAGGUGCUUUCUGUGAUAGUUCCUCGUGCAAAAAUAGACUAGAAUUUCUUAGUCGAUCUGAAGGCCGAAGCCCAACUACGUGGAAAUCACUUCUUCAGCGUUGUUAAAAACGCGCCGCACUUGGGUGAGCAAGAUCUGGGGGCGGCGGCCCGGUGGGGGCAAGUCGUGAGGCGGCAGGGGGCGACUGAGUUCUUAACUUAGAAGAAGCGGGGGGAAAGAGAAUAGAUCAAGUUUCUGAAAGAUGUUCAGGACCUCUCUCCUAGUCACAUUCAACCUUUGGGUUCACUUUUGAAUAUCUUUGUGGAAGCUUGUCCCACUAUUUUAAAGGUUGAGUCUAAGGCUGCGUAGCAAGCAUAACUCGGUCAUGUGUUGAGAGCGCUACUUCAGUGUUGAUAAGUUCUAGAGAUGUCCGUAAGGUUCUCGCUUCCGGUAUAGGGGUGUGAUCAUGGCACGACUGCUUACUUGCUUUUUACCCAAACAUGAGCUAAGUAGGAGCUAACUUCUAAAUGAGGCAAGACGAGAGAAGAAAUAACUAACCCCCAUCACCUAACUUCUAAAGCAAACAAGGGAGUAUUUUGUGUCCGCUCACAUUUUCUCGUCCUUCACAUAAAGGGCAAUGUUAAUAUUAAGAUUUGGGGUUAGGGUCUUUGUGCAUUUUGAUUAUGUGGCUGUAAAUAAUUUGAUUAAUUUCUCUCUGAUUUGUUGAUUCUGAAUUUUCCUUUUUCAGCAGUGUAUAUAACAAUGUGAAUACUAAAGAAGUUAUGUGUUUUUAAGUGGCAGGACUAUGCCACGAAGCCUGAUGUGAAUUGAUUCUGAAGUUUCCUUUUUCAGCAAUGUAUAUAACAAUGUGAAUACUAAAGAAGUUAUGUGUUUUUAAGAGGCAGGACUAUGCCACGGAACCUGACGAGAAACUUAUACA
This is a long non-coding RNA of Salvia splendens (bonfire salvia), 1998 nucleotides long. RefSeq lists it as uncharacterized. The record is from RefSeq and is a predicted model, not a curated record. NCBI's taxonomy places the organism in Eukaryota, Viridiplantae, Streptophyta, Magnoliopsida, Lamiales, Lamiaceae. The transcript has 7 exons.